Molecule: long non-coding RNA, 160 nt
Organism: Bufo bufo (common toad)
Lineage: Eukaryota; Metazoa; Chordata; Amphibia; Anura; Bufonidae
Exons: 3
Source: RefSeq, a predicted model, not a curated record
CCGAACAUUUUCGUUAAAAGUCCGGGUUCGGGAGCCGAACUUGACUCCGAACCUGGACCCCAUUAAAUUCAAUGGGGAGCUGAACUUCACUUUAUUAUUUUUCGUUAUAACAUGGGUAUAACGAAAAUAAUAGAAUUUUUUACAGACAGAAUGCUAAAUA